RNAcentral lists this ribosomal RNA (538 nucleotides) under uncultured archaeon. Its description in RNAcentral is "bacterial SSU rRNA". It matches the Rfam family "Archaeal small subunit ribosomal RNA", at positions 1 to 527 of the family's 1478-position model. The record is from RNAcentral.
UCCGGUUGAUCCUGCCAGAGGCCGCUGCUCUUCGGCUGGGACUAAGCCAUGCUAGUCUAGGGGCUUGUACUCCUUCGGGGGUGCAAGCACCGGCGGACGGCUCAGUAACACGUGGACAACCUGCCCUCGGGUGGGGGAUAACCCCGGGAAACUGGGGCUAAUCCCCCAUAGGUGAUGGGUGCUGGAAUGCCCCAUCUCCGAAAGCGCUUAGCGCCCGAGGAUGGGUCUGCGGCGGAUUAGGUAGUUGGUGGGGUAACGGCCCACCAAGCCUAAGAUCCGUACGGGCUGUGGGAGCAGGAGCCCGGAGAUGGACCCUGAGACAAGGGUCCAGGCCCUACGGGGCGCAGCAGGCGCGAAACCUCCGCAAUGCGGGAAACCGCGACGGGGUUAGCCGGAGUGCCCGUGCAUUGCACGGGCUGUCGGGGUGCCUAAACAGCACCCCAUAGCAAGGGCCGGGCAAGGCCGGUGGCAGCCGCCGCGGUAAGACCGGCGGCCCGAGUGGCCGCCACUCUUAUUGGGCCUAAAGCGUCCGUAGCCG